AUGCUCCUCAAGCCCAACCCAACGCCGACGAUUCUACACGAGCUCUGUGAUCUCUGGGAGGCUGCUACGAGCAUCACCAUCAAUGACAAUGUUGAAGACCAGAUUGCCUGGAAGUGGACAGCGUCCGGCGAAUACACGGCGGCUUCUGCAUACAAGAUGCAAUUUAAGGGCAGCAUUCAAACCAACGAUAAGGCCAUAAUCUGGAAGGCAAAAGCAUCUCCCAGGGCUAAAUGCUUCGCCUGGCUGCUGUUGCAAGGGAGGAUCAUGACGGCGGAUAACUUGGCCAAGCGAAGGAUUGAACACGACCCGAUCUGCUCGCUAUGUCAUGCCGCGCCGGAAACGGCCCACCACAUGAUUGCGGCAUGUCCCUUCGCUGUGGACGUGUGGGAGAGGACCACAUCCUCGCUAGGCAUGCCGUUCACUGCGCUGCCUAUGCCCACAGACUGCUCGCUGCGGCUGCGAUUCAGACGACAAACUGCCGGGCUACCGAGAGCGAGACGGGCCAUUUGGAAGGCCUCUUGCCUGCUUGUGUCAUGGGGCAUCUGGAAGGAGCGGAACGCGAGGGUUUUCAAUCACGUCUCCUCCUCCGCCGAGCAGGUUCAUGGCCGCAUCAUCGAUGAGGCAAGGACCUGGCAACACGCUGGGCUUGCACCGAUGUCAGCUUUCUUUGAGCCACCUUGA
Molecule: ribosomal RNA, 681 nt
Filed under: Triticum aestivum (bread wheat)
Lineage: Eukaryota; Viridiplantae; Streptophyta; Magnoliopsida; Poales; Poaceae
Description: partial small subunit ribosomal RNA
Source: RNAcentral